Molecule: long non-coding RNA, 386 nt
Filed under: Citrus x clementina
Lineage: Eukaryota; Viridiplantae; Streptophyta; Magnoliopsida; Sapindales; Rutaceae
Description: Citrus clementina (C. clementina) long non-coding RNA (CCLE_LNC003146)
Source: RNAcentral
GCGCCCAAAAAUAACCGCCCGAAGGCCGGGGCGCCAAGUUCGUCCUGCGGAAAAAGCCCACAAAAACGGGUGGGCUAUAGCCUUGGGGGGUGGGGCUGGCCAACUUCGUCCGCCGGACUCGGAAUGGCGCGAGACUUUGCGAGGCGCCUCCGUGUGCCAAAAAUAGGCCGCGGGCACAGCCGCACCCAAAAAUAACCGCCCGAAGGCCGGGGCGCCAAGUUCGUCAAGCGGAAAAAGGCCACAAAAACGGGUGCGCUAUAGCCUUGGGGGGUGGGGCUUGCCAACAUCGUCCGCCGGACUUGGAAUGGCGCGAGACUUUGCAAGGCACCUCCGUGUGCCAAAAAGUGGCCGUGGGCACAGCCGCGCCCAAAAAUAACCGCCCGAAG